CUGUCAGCGAAGAGAUUGUUUACAUGCAAUGAGGCUGAGUUUAAAAGAAGGCAGAAAGAAAGAAGAAAACACUAUGACUACAGUUCUGUGAGUGUGCAUAACCAUACAGAAAGACACAAAAAUCUCAUCAGAUUGGCUACAGCUCAAGACCAACCUCACAAAUCCUUUUUCACUAAUUAAAACUUUACAGAGAAUGUAAACAAUGAUUCUUAUCAUUCCUUUUACCAGUGUUCAAAGGGAGAGGGAAGAAAAAAGCCCAACUGGUAAGAA
RNAcentral lists this long non-coding RNA (270 nucleotides) under Callithrix jacchus (white-tufted-ear marmoset). RNAcentral's name for it is "lncRNA (ENSCJAG00000077376.1)". The record is from RNAcentral. Lineage: Eukaryota; Metazoa; Chordata; Mammalia; Primates; Cebidae.